This 82-nucleotide transfer RNA is filed under the name Deltaproteobacteria bacterium. RNAcentral describes it as "tRNA-Leu". It matches the Rfam family "tRNA". Rfam says of the family: Transfer RNA (tRNA) molecules are approximately 80 nucleotides in length. Their secondary structure includes four short double-helical elements and three loops (D, anti-codon, and T loops). Further hydrogen bonds mediate the characteristic L-shaped molecular structure. tRNAs have two regions of fundamental functional importance: the anti-codon, which is responsible for specific mRNA codon recognition, and the 3' end, to which the tRNAs corresponding amino acid is attached (by aminoacyl-tRNA synthetases). tRNAs cope with the degeneracy of the genetic code in two manners: having more than one tRNA (with a specific anti-codon) for a particular amino acid; and 'wobble' base-pairing, i.e. permitting non-standard base-pairing at the 3rd anti-codon position. The record is from RNAcentral. Lineage: Bacteria; Pseudomonadati; Myxococcota; Myxococcia.
GGGGGAGUGGCGGAACUGGCAUACGCAGGGGACUUAAAAUCCCCCGGCUUCGGCCUUGCGGGUUCGAAUCCCGCCUCCCCCA